RNAcentral lists this ribosomal RNA (497 nucleotides) under uncultured bacterium. Its description in RNAcentral is "partial 16S ribosomal RNA". It matches the Rfam family "Bacterial small subunit ribosomal RNA", at positions 28 to 507 of the family's 1533-position model. The record is from RNAcentral.
GAUGAACGCUGGCGGCGUGCCUAAUACAUGCAAGUCGAGCGAACGGACGAGAAGCUUGCUUUUCUGAUGUUAGCGGCGGACGGGUGAGUAACACGUGGAUAACCUACCUAUAAGACUGGGAUAACUUCGGGAAACGGGAGCUAAUACCGGAUAAUAUUUUGAACCGCAUGGUUCAAAAGUGAAAGACGGUCUUGCUGUCACUUAUAGAUGGAUCCGCGCUGCAUUAGCUAGUUGGUAAGGUAACGGCUUACCAAGGCAACGAUGCAUAGCCGACCUGAGAGGGUGAUCGGCCACACUGGAACUGAGACACGGUCCAGACUCCUACGGGAGGCAGCAGUAGGGAAUCUUCCGCAAUGGGCGAAAGCCUGACGGAGCAACGCCGCGUGAGUGAUGAAGGUCUUCGGAUCGUAAAACUCUGUUAUUAGGGAAGAACAUAUGUGUAAGUAACUGUGCACAUCUUGACGGUACCUAAUCAGAAAGCCACGGCUAACUACGUG